UACGUAGGGCGCAAGCGUUGUCCGGAAUUAUUGGGCGUAAAGAGCUCGUAGGCGGCUUGUCACGUCGAUUGUGAAAGCCCGAGGCUUAACCUCGGGUCUGCAGUCGAUACGGGCUAGCUAGAGUGUGGUAGGGGAGAUCGGAAUUCCUGGUGUAGCGGUGGAAUGCGCAGAUAUCAGGAGGAACACCGGUGGCGAAGGCGGAUCUCUGGGCCAUUACUGACGCUGAGGAGCGAAAGCGUGGGGAACAAACAGG
RNAcentral lists this ribosomal RNA (253 nucleotides) under uncultured bacterium. Its description in RNAcentral is "partial 16S ribosomal RNA". It matches the Rfam family "Bacterial small subunit ribosomal RNA", at positions 524 to 776 of the family's 1533-position model. The record is from RNAcentral.